UUUCUUUCUUCCAGAACCCAGGUGAAGAAAUUAAUUUAUCUGCCCAAAGUAAUAUCACUAUCACAUGAAUAUUUGAAGGAAUGAGUGAGUGAAUCAUAAUGAGCUGAAAGAAAGCUCCAUGAAAACAGAAAUGUUGCUCUUCCCUUUCACCCAGUAUCUUCGGCACCAAGAACAGGACCCGUGCAGACUGGAUCAAGGACAAGCAAAACAACGUGUUUAUCUGGUGCCCAUCUCCCUGGCUGAACACUCCUCUGAAGGUGACCGUUGGACUGUGCCAGAGCAGAGCUGUCCACACCAAGUGAUGCUUCAUAGCAACUCUGGCUUUGGUGAACUUACUGGCAUCCCCUUAUAUAUAAGCUGUGGCCUGAUAACCUUAAGCAUAGCUCCAUAAAGUUCCUACCCAAGGCCACGGAGUCGACUGCUGACUAGCAAGCUGUUCUCUACUUUGUACAGGUGUCUAUUUGGGGAGGGAGAAGGUAGAAGAGCCAGUGAAGGUUUGCUUAAACUAUUCUUACAGCGAAAACACUGGCUGUCAUCACAAAAUAUUAAAAAUUAAAGUGCCAGAGACGGUUUUUAGUGGCCCUGGCUUUUACAGGUGCUGAGCUUUUGAGUAAUAGGGGAGUGUCUUUCCAGGAAACUGCAACCUUUUACCAUUGCAACAGCAGAAAACAUCUGUGGCAGAAAGAUAUUUUCUGAGCUUACUGCUACUUGAACGUAGUGAUGUUGUGUCUCCUAAAAUUCCUACCUUGCCUUAAUUGAUGAAAAAGAAGUACCAUUCAGUGAGCCUCCCCCUCCCCACUAUAUGUGUCAGAUAUUCCGCAUGUUAUUUUCAGUCUUUACAAGCACUCAUCAAAGUAUUGCUUUCCCCCAUUAUACAAAUGAUGAAACUCAAGCACAGGAGUUUACCCAAGGUCACAGAGCUAGAGGGGCCAGAGCUGGGAUUCCAAAUCAGUUCUAACACUCAAGCCAAGACUUUUCUGGUAUGCCAU
This is a long non-coding RNA of Prionailurus viverrinus (fishing cat), 989 nucleotides long. RefSeq lists it as uncharacterized. The record is from RefSeq and is a predicted model, not a curated record. The transcript has 3 exons. Lineage: Eukaryota; Metazoa; Chordata; Mammalia; Carnivora; Felidae.